Molecule: ribosomal RNA, 449 nt
Filed under: uncultured bacterium
Lineage: Bacteria
Description: partial 16S ribosomal RNA
Rfam family: Bacterial small subunit ribosomal RNA
Source: RNAcentral
AACGAACGCUGGCGGCAUGCCUAACACAUGCAAGUCGAACGAGAUCUUCGGGUCUAGUGGCGCACGGGUGCGUAACGCGUGGGAAUCUGCCCUUUGGUUCGGAAUAACAGUUGGAAACGACUGCUAAUACCGGAUGAUGACGAAAGUCCAAAGAUUUAUCGCCAGAGGAUGAGCCCGCGUAGGAUUAGCUAGUUGGUGUGGUAAAGGCGCACCAAGGCGACGAUCCUUAGCUGGUCUGAGAGGAUGAUCAGCCACACUGGGACUGAGACACGACCCAGACUCCUACGGGAGGCAGCAGUGGGGAAUAUUGGACAAUGGGCGAAAGCCUGAUCCAGCGAUGCCGCGUGAGUGAUGAAGGCCUUAGGGUUGUAAAGCUCUUUUACCCGGGAUGAUAAUGACAGUACCGGGAGAAUAAGCUCCGGCUAACUCCGCGCCAGCAGCCGCCGCGG